UUUCCGUAGGUGAACCUGCGGAAGGAUCAUUCAUAAUAAGUGUUUUAUGGCACUUUUUUAAAUCCAUAUCCACCUUGUGUGCAAUGUCAGGGUUGAUUUUUCUCUCGAGAGGAUCAACCCCAAACAUCAACUAUAUCUCAACUCUUUGUCUGAAAAAUAUUAUGAAUAAAACAAUUCAAAAUAUAACUUUCAACAACGGAUCUCUUGGCUCUC
Molecule: unclassified non-coding RNA, 213 nt
Filed under: plant metagenome
Description: partial contains small subunit ribosomal RNA, internal transcribed spacer 1, and 5.8S ribosomal RNA
Source: RNAcentral